UACGAAGGGACCUAGCGUAGUUCGGAAUUACUGGGCUUAAAGAGUUCGUAGGUGGUUGAAAAAGUUAGUGGUGAAAUCCCAGAGCUUAACUCUGGAACUGCCAUUAAAACUUUUCAGCUAGAGUAUGAUAGAGGAAAGCAGAAUUUCUAGUGUAGAGGUGAAAUUCGUAGAUAUUAGAAAGAAUACCAAUUGCGAAGGCAGCUUUCUGGAUCAUUACUGACACUGAGGAACGAAAGCAUGGGUAGCGAAGAGGAUUAGAUACCCUCGUAGUCCAUGCCGUAAACGAUGUGUGUUAGACGUUGGAAAUUUAUUUUCAGUGUCGCAGCGAAAGCGAUAAACACACCGCCUGGGGAGUACGACCGCAAGGUUAAAACUCAAAUGAAUUGACGGGGACCCGCACAAGUAGUGGAGCAUGUGGUUUAAUUCGAAGAUACGCGCAGAACCUUACCAACACUUGACAUGUUCGUCGCGACUCUAAGAGAUUAGAGUUUUCGGUUCGGCCGGACGAAACACAGGUGCUGCAUGGCUGUCGUCAGCUCGUGUCGUGAGAUGUUGGGUUAAGUCCCGCAACGAGCGCAACCCUCACUUUUAGUUGCCAUCAUUAAGUUGGGCACUCUGAAAGAACUGCCAGUGAUAAGCUGGAGGAAGGUGGGGAUGACGUCAAGUCCUCAUGGCCCUUACGUGUUGGGCUACACACGUGCUACAAUGGUAUCUACAACAGGAAGCAAGACUGCGAGGUCAAGCAAAUCCUUAAAAGAUACCUCAGUUCGGAUUGCACUCUGCAACUCGAGUGCAUGAAGCUGGAAUUACUAGUGAUCGUGGAUCAGCGUGCCACGGUGAAUGCGUUCCCGGGUCU
RNAcentral lists this ribosomal RNA (856 nucleotides) under uncultured bacterium. RNAcentral describes it as "SSU rRNA". It matches the Rfam family "Bacterial small subunit ribosomal RNA", at positions 524 to 1381 of the family's 1533-position model. The record is from RNAcentral.